AUGAUCCGCCAGGACGACAUCGACGACAUGGUCGAGGGGGGAUUGAUUCCCCAUGAAUCGGCGCGACUCCCGGGGAACGAGACCGAGCCGCAGCCACAGGAGGGUGAGCGCGUCCUCCUCGCUACUCACGUCGACCGCGGGUUUUCCUUGCCUACCCACCCUUUCUUUCGAGGUUUCUUGAACUUCUUCGGGGCGCAACUCCACCACCUCACCCCGAACACCAUCGUGUAUCUUGCUGCUUUUGUGUCCAUGUGCGAGAGCUUCCUGGGCUGUAGGCCACACUGGGGGCUCUUCAAGCACAUAUUCACCUGCCGUUCUCAGUCGGUCAAGAAGGCCAACCCGAGUGACGAGAGAACGCAAGUGAUUCAGAUGUGCGGGGGUCUUGGGAUCCAAAUGAGGAGUAAGAGUACUUUCCCAGCCAUGAUCCUUCCCGAAUCGGUUCGAGGGUGGCAGUCGACCUAG
This 462-nucleotide ribosomal RNA is filed under the name Triticum aestivum (bread wheat). RNAcentral's name for it is "partial small subunit ribosomal RNA". Lineage: Eukaryota; Viridiplantae; Streptophyta; Magnoliopsida; Poales; Poaceae. The record is from RNAcentral.